This is a long non-coding RNA of Chinchilla lanigera (long-tailed chinchilla), 459 nucleotides long. RefSeq lists it as uncharacterized. Lineage: Eukaryota; Metazoa; Chordata; Mammalia; Rodentia; Chinchillidae. The record is from RefSeq and is a predicted model, not a curated record. The transcript has 4 exons.
GGGAGAAACAUCUAAAUAUUCAUGGUAUUGUUUGAUCACACCACUACAGUAACAGAAAGCAAAUCACUACUUUCGUGGAGUGGAGGGAUGUGAGUUUCUCCAGCCCAGCCCUCAGACCAGAACUGAUGCCCUAUGUUCCAUGGACUGCAAAUAUUGAGCCUUCCCAGCCUCCUUAAGUCUUUGGAAAUUUUGGAAGAGGACGGACUGACAGCGGUGGGAAGAGUAGGAGUAGCAGGCACAGGAAGACAAAUGGAAACAGAAAUAAAGAUUGAUAGAAUGACAGACCCUCCAGACUGGUCUUGAAAAGAGCAAGAUAGAAACAUGCAGAGUCUGAUUUUAUAUAGGAAUACCAGCGACUACAUCCACAGACUGCAAGCAGGGCUCCUGCUCGGUGAUUAAUGAGAGUCUGAAGGAGAAACUGGAUUCUCCGAGGGGUGCUAUUUUGUAUUAACAAGGCAA